Molecule: long non-coding RNA, 298 nt
Filed under: Cyanistes caeruleus (blue tit)
Lineage: Eukaryota; Metazoa; Chordata; Aves; Passeriformes; Paridae
Description: lncRNA (ENSCCEG00000003164.1)
Source: RNAcentral
ACUAGGCUGCCUUUUGUGGAUCUAGUUCUUCAACAAGUAUAUCUCCUAAGAGGCCUAUAUAUUUAAAUUGGAGUUGUGAUCGUUUUGUGCUACUGAUGUAUCAAGAGGGGACUGUUUUUUGCUUCACAUAGUGUCAUGCCCUUGAAAACCACUGCUGUGUGAGCUGUGUUUUCCUGCUGUAUGAAGACAUUUGGUUCUGUCAGAGGAUGCCUGUUUGUUCACUAGGUUUGUGUUCUGAGAAAUUCCCCAUGUCAGAAGUCCCUGAAGUUUAUAAUUAACCACAGCAGAGCUCAUGCAC